Molecule: ribosomal RNA, 86 nt
Filed under: uncultured bacterium
Lineage: Bacteria
Description: partial 16S ribosomal RNA
Source: RNAcentral
CUGCUGCCUUCCGUAGGAGUCUGGUCCGUGUCUCAGUACCAGUGUGGGGGGACCUUCCUCUCAGAACCCCUACNCAUCGUCGCCCG